CCUACGGGUGGCAGCAGUGAGGAAUAUUGGUCAAUGGACGAGAGUCUGAACCAGCCAAGUAGCGUGAAGGAUGACUGCCCUAUGGGUUGUAAACUUCUUUUAUAAAGGAAUAAAACGAGGCACGUGUGCCUGUUUGCAUGUACUUUAUGAAUAAGGAUCGGCUAACUCCGUGCCAGCAGCCGCGGUAAUACGGAGGAUCCGAGCGUUAUCCGGAUUUAUUGGGUUUAAAGGGAGCGUAGAUGGGUUGUUAAGUCAGUUGUGAAAGUUUGCGGCUCAACCGUAAAAUUGCAAUUGAUACUGGCAGUCUUGAGUACAGUUGAGGUAGGCGGAAUUCGUGGUGUAGCGGUGAAAUGCUUAGAUAUCAAGAAGGACCCCGAUUGCGAAGGCAGCUUACUAAACUGUGACUGACAUUGAUGCUCGAAAGUGUGGGUAUCAAACAGGAUUAGAUACCCCGAGUAGUC
Molecule: ribosomal RNA, 461 nt
Filed under: uncultured bacterium
Lineage: Bacteria
Description: partial 16S ribosomal RNA
Rfam family: Bacterial small subunit ribosomal RNA
Source: RNAcentral